GUAUGAGAAGAACAAGAGUCCUGCAAAGCAACUCCACAAGUUCAAUUACAUACCCUGCUCAUGAGAUGGGAUCCAGAGUAAAAUCCAGUGUGUUCCACUAAGUUUGCAUCAGGAGCAGCAGGAACACAAGGCGGGCAACACAGUAAACAACAACCACUUCAUUUGUAUCUAAUAAAGUAAACAAUCAUCAGUGUGAACAUGCAUGGAACCAGAUUUGGAAGCCAUCGGCAGGAUUACAGCCACAUGCGCACCCAACACCAGGCAGCUGUUCAGAAGGGGAGAGAGAAUGCUGGUGUUCAACCGAUGGACGGAAGACAUAAAACUGAUGAACUGUCAGAAGCCAGUCAUAAUUUUUUUGGAUUAGC
Long non-coding RNA from Gallus gallus (chicken), 365 nucleotides. Lineage: Eukaryota; Metazoa; Chordata; Aves; Galliformes; Phasianidae. The record is from Ensembl.